This is a small nucleolar RNA of Cynoglossus semilaevis (tongue sole), 127 nucleotides long. Ensembl annotates it as small nucleolar RNA ACA64. The record is from Ensembl. NCBI's taxonomy places the organism in Eukaryota, Metazoa, Chordata, Actinopteri, Pleuronectiformes, Cynoglossidae.
UCAGGAUGAAAAUGGUCUCAGAUGGUACAGUGGUCUGAGGUCAGAUAACUGAGCCCACAGAAUUCCCGGCAUGUUUAGCUUAUUGCUUGCACAUUUGCACAGUGAUAAAACCAACGUGCCCACAGAU